RNAcentral lists this long non-coding RNA (1447 nucleotides) under Sinocyclocheilus anshuiensis. RNAcentral's name for it is "lncRNA (ENSSANG00000031694.1)". Lineage: Eukaryota; Metazoa; Chordata; Actinopteri; Cypriniformes; Cyprinidae. The record is from RNAcentral.
UAAAAAUGCAGCUUUGGUCUUAAGGAAAGUUGCUCCUGCAGAUUCUGGGGAAUACAAGUGUUUAAUUAGAGCCAAAGCUGGAGGAAUGAACUGUCAAAAUCGGGUUAGACUUAAUAUCUCAGGUUGUGUGUCAACAACUUCACCCAUCAUCUUUGAUUUCUCCACCAAAUUUAUUAAUGGAUCAUGGCCAAACAUUAGCAUCUCAUUGCCUCACGUGGAUGACGAUUCAGUGCUUUAUGUCCUGUGGGGUUGUGUAGGACUCGCUGUGAGUAAACUUAUCCUCAGUGCCGUUUCCAUAUGCGUAAGUAUUUCUAAAUGCAGCUGAUUUAUCUCAUAUCUUCUGAGCAUUUUAUUUGAAUUAUUAGAAGUUAUGGUAUAGGUUCAGCAAAGCAUUAGAUGUAGCUAAACACAGACAGGGAAGUAACAAGUUUAAAUGACAAAUGCUCUUAAAGAGAACACUGAGGAGUAAUUGCAAAAAUUGACUCUGGAAGUCUGAUCCUAGCAGUUAUUGUGAAAAACAAUUUCUAAGCUAUAAAAGUAAUUACAUACUUCUGUUCUCAGGUUUUCAAGAAGCUCCGAAAACUUAAAAGAAGAAGACAGACUUAAGACCAACCACUGUUUAUCAGCACCUUGUUUGUUUGCAGAGUUUACUCGCCAUACCUUAUAUGGACAUUCCUUACAUUCUGCAAACUUGUGUAAAAGACCAUUGGAUGGUUUAGUAAUUUAACAUUUUAAUAAUUAAUCUGUGAAUUUACCUAUGAAUUAUGAUAAUCUGAGGAACUGAUACUUUAUAUCUGUUAUAUUUAUUUCCAAAAUGGCAUUGCUGUCAUAAGGGCGGGUCAUGGCAGAACAUUUUCUUAAACUUUGAAAUUAUUUUUGGAGGAACUAUGCAGAUUGAAAACUGUUCUGAUGCAUGAUCCACAUUUAAUACACUGCAAAAGAACAAAUUUCUCUUCAUUAUGGAUCUGUCUUACCAGUGUUAUUCUAGUAUUAUUUAUAUACAUUUAUAGUAUUCAGCAUUUUGUAUUUAUUUUAAUUUACUAAAGCAAAUUGUAAUAGUUUUACAAAUAUUCAAACAAAUAUGCAUUUGUGUCACUGCUUUAAAUUGGCCAGUAAUAAGGUUAAAUGACCUAUAGUUUAAGCUUUUAUAAAUGUGUUGGAUUCUCUUUGUGUGUGGGUGUUGUGUGUGAAAAUUGGUUUGCUCCAUGCAAAUUCUCAGAAAAAUAGGUAUAAUGUGCUUUUGCCCAUGAAGUGUAUUCCAGAUUAUGACUAAGAUUAAGGAUAAUAACUUAAUGCAAAGAGACAGUUUGAGACAGCCAUCAUGAAACUGUACUGAUACUCUACAGGUGCAUCUCAAUAAAUUAGAAUGUCGUGGAAAAGUUCAUUUAUUUCAGUAAUUCAACUCAAAUUGUGAAACUCGUGUAUUAAAUAAAUUCAAUGCACACAG